AGCGGCAAGAGCUCAAAUUUGAAAUCUGGCACUUUCAGUGUCCGAGUUGUAAUUUGAAGAAGGCAGUCUUGGUGGUCAACCUUGUCUAUGUUCCUUGGAACAGGACGUCACAGAGGGUGAGAAUCCCGUGCGAUGAGGAUUGGCUGCUAUGUAAGGCGCUUUCGAAGAGUCGAGUUGUUUGGGAAUGCAGCUCUAAGUGGGUGGUAAAUUCCAUCUAAAGCUAAAUAUUGGCGAGAGACCGAUAGCGAACAAGUACAGUGAUGGAAAGAUGAAAAGAACUUUGAAAAGAGAGUGAAACAGUACGUGAAAUUGUUGAAAGGGAAGGGCUUGAGAUUAGACUUGGUUUUGCUCAAUCAUUUCUCCUUGUGGGAGGUGCUCUUGGCUUUACCGGGCCAGCAUCGGUUUUGAUGGUGGGAUAAUAGCGAUUGAAUGUGGCUCUUCGGAGUGUUAUAGCUUUCGUUGAUACCGCCUAUUGGGACCGA
RNAcentral lists this ribosomal RNA (482 nucleotides) under [Candida] sp. UFMG-CM-Y2956. Its description in RNAcentral is "LSU rRNA". It matches the Rfam family "Eukaryotic large subunit ribosomal RNA", at positions 97 to 585 of the family's 3401-position model. The record is from RNAcentral. Lineage: Eukaryota; Fungi; Ascomycota; Pichiomycetes; Pichiales; Pichiaceae.